Sinocyclocheilus grahami is the source of this 1451-nucleotide long non-coding RNA. RefSeq lists it as uncharacterized. The transcript has 3 exons. The record is from RefSeq and is a predicted model, not a curated record. Lineage: Eukaryota; Metazoa; Chordata; Actinopteri; Cypriniformes; Cyprinidae.
CAGUUUUGACCGUGAUGAUGAGCAGUUUGCCCGGAGAAGAGAGGAGAUCAGACAGCGAGCAGAUGAACGGAGGGAGGAGAGGAAGGUGAAACAUGAUGAAAUCCGCAAGAAGUACGGUCUCAUCCCAGACUCCGAUCAUCCGUACAGCAAGUUCGAGAACGAGUAAAAGCCACGGAUUGGAUCCCUUCACCACACGCUUUGCUCUGAGACGCACCGGAUCACUUUAGGUUAGAUGGAGCCGAUACGGAGAUGACCUUCUCAGUCCUUCCAUUGCUUAGAAAUCUGUGUUAAUAAUAAGAAUAAUAAUAUUUUCUGUAUUACUCAAACACAACAGCAGCACACUGCUAAAGAAUAGUUUUCAUCCUCUGUAUUUUUGUCUUGAUUUCCAAUAAAUAUCUUAACUAUCUAUCUUAAAUCAAGAUAGUAAAAUGACAUGCGAUGUAAAGUUAAAAAUGCAUCAACCUGAAGUGAUUUCAGGCUUAAAACAUGAACAAAUAUCUUCCAGUGGGGUGAGAAAAAUCUACUUCAUUUAAAAGGUUUUUCUAAUCUCAUUAGCAGAUAUUUCUUUCUAGCUUAAUGCAUUAACUCACUACGUUUUGAUACAUUUUUCACAAAAUAAGAUCUGCAGUAAAUGUGUCUUGAUUUAAGAAUGUGACAAAAAUACUGACUUUUUUUGUGCACAUUUUAAUGCUUUAGAAGAUGGAACGGGUAGCUGUUCGAAUGUGACUCUUUUGUUUCUUUGUGUUCUUAUAGAGAGUUGGAGAACUAGUUUAUGCAAAAAUGUAAUUUAUUCACCCUCCUGUCGCUCUUUUCUGCUCGACAACAGCUCAUACCGAGCAGGACUUUCAAAAUAAGAAGUGCAUGCUGUAUUUCUAUCAAGUCUCUUUGUAUUGAGCCAUAUGAUACUUUCUUUGAGAAACAGACCUAGGUUUUAUUCUCUGAUAAUCCACAAAGAGCCAAAAACAUUGUGCAAUAAAUGCAAAUGAGAUUUUAGAGCUGCAGUGGCGGAGAAGAUGAUUAGUGACUUGAUUGCAGUCUGUUUCUCACACAAAGCAUCAAAUGGCUUCAGAAAUAUAGCACAUGCACCAUAUGAACUGCUGUUAUGAUGCAUUCAGAUAAUGCAUUUUAUUUUACUUUAUAAAAUGCAUCAUGUGGAUUACUGUUAUGAUGCUUUUAUGGAUUCUUUGUCAUUUUUGUCACUAUGAACCGUUGUCGAAAAGACGUGCAUGAAAAAUUCUAACAACUUGUGCGUUUGUAACGACAUGAGGGUGAAUAAACGACAACUAAGUUGAGUUUUUCAGUGAAUUAUUGCACUUUCUGAUUCAGUUGUGAUUGCAAACUCAGCAUCUUUUUUUUUUUAAUCGCUCUGGCUUCUGUGAAUGAUCUAGACGUUUGUAUUUAUACCGUGUUCUUAUCAAAACAUGUCCUAAUAAAACAAGCUUCCACUUUUA